GGAUUAGUGGCGAACGGGUGAGUAACACGUGGGCAAUCUGCCCUGCACUCUGGGACAAGCCCUGGAAACGGGGUCUAAUACCGGAUAUGACUGUCCAUCGCAUGGUGGAUGGUGUAAAGCUCCGGCGGUGCAGGAUGAGCCCGCGGCCUAUCAGCUUGUUGGUGAGGUAGUGGCUCACCAAGGCGACGACGGGUAGCCGGCCUGAGAGGGCGACCGGCCACACUGGGACUGAGACACGGCCCAGACUCCUACGGGAGGCAGCAGUGGGGAAUAUUGCACAAUGGGCGAAAGCCUGAUGCAGCGACGCCGCGUGAGGGAUGACGGCCUUCGGGUUGUAAACCUCUUUCAGCAGGGAAGAAGCGAAAGUGACGGUACCUGCAGAAGAAGCGCCGGCUAACUACGUGCCAGCAGCCGCGGUAAUACGUAGGGCGCAAGCGUUGUCCGGAAUUAUUGGGCGUAAAGAGCUCGUAGGCGGCUUGU
RNAcentral lists this ribosomal RNA (480 nucleotides) under Streptomyces sp. Its description in RNAcentral is "bacterial SSU rRNA". It matches the Rfam family "Bacterial small subunit ribosomal RNA", at positions 89 to 583 of the family's 1533-position model. Lineage: Bacteria; Bacillati; Actinomycetota; Actinomycetes; Kitasatosporales; Streptomycetaceae. The record is from RNAcentral.